GAGAGGAGGUGCAUGGCCGUCGUCAGUUCGUACUGUGAAGCAUCCUGUUAAGUCAGGCAACGAGCGAGACCACGCCAACAGUUGCCAGCAUGAUCUCCGGAUUGAUGGGGACACUGUUGGGACCGCCUCUGCUAAAGGGGAGGAAGGAAUGGGCAACGGUAGGUCAGCAUGCCCCGAAUUAUCCGGGCUACACGCGGGCUACAAUGGAUGGGACAAUGGGUUUCGACACCGAAAGGUGAAGGUAAUCUCCUAACCCCACCCGUAGUUCGGAUUGCGGGCUGCAACUCGCCCGCAUGAAGCUGGAAUCCGUAGUAAUCGCGUCUCACGAUGGCGCGGUGAAUAUGUCCCUGCUCCUU
RNAcentral lists this ribosomal RNA (356 nucleotides) under uncultured Methanocalculus sp. RNAcentral's name for it is "bacterial SSU rRNA". It matches the Rfam family "Archaeal small subunit ribosomal RNA", at positions 982 to 1338 of the family's 1478-position model. Lineage: Archaea; Methanobacteriati; Methanobacteriota; Methanomicrobia; Methanomicrobiales; Methanocalculaceae. The record is from RNAcentral.